AUCCAGCUGGCGAGUCCGAAAUAGGACGGAACGCUCGUCCUGGGU
Non-coding RNA from Schistosoma mansoni, 45 nucleotides. The record is from Rfam. NCBI's taxonomy places the organism in Eukaryota, Metazoa, Platyhelminthes, Trematoda, Strigeidida, Schistosomatidae.